GUUAAAGGUCAGAAAAAUAACUUGGUCUUGAAACAGGAUUCUCGGGAUGGAGGAUGGCCGGCCGCGAUUGCAGAGGGUAUGACCGUGGGGGAUGAGUGGUUGGCCGCAGUCGUGUUGUGCUGGCCAUGGAGAUUGGAGGUCUGGCCGCGGUUGCAAAGCUUCGAGUCAGCUUCAUUUUUUUGGGGGGCAAACGAAAUAUCUUGAGAUCUAACCAUUGGAAUGUCUCCAAACCAAUCACAUUUGAACUCUGGUUGUGUAUUUUAUUAAACUUCCAAAUUUGGGGAUGAUCAGACGGUGAAAACAAUUUUGUCUCUCCUAGAGAGUUCUGACAGUCUGAAUUUAUCCAAAAAAUACUAUUUUGG
Molecule: long non-coding RNA, 362 nt
Filed under: Eutrema salsugineum
Lineage: Eukaryota; Viridiplantae; Streptophyta; Magnoliopsida; Brassicales; Brassicaceae
Description: long non-coding RNA (ESAL_LNC000927)
Source: RNAcentral